RNAcentral lists this ribosomal RNA (460 nucleotides) under uncultured bacterium. RNAcentral's name for it is "partial 16S ribosomal RNA". It matches the Rfam family "Bacterial small subunit ribosomal RNA", at positions 338 to 795 of the family's 1533-position model. The record is from RNAcentral.
CCUACGGGAGGCAGCAGUGAGGAAUAUUGGUCAAUGGGCGCGAGCCUGAACCAGCCAAGUAGCGUGAAGGAUGACUGCCCUACGGGUUGUAAACUUCUUUUAUAAAGGAAUAAAGUGAGGCACGUGUGCCUUUAUGUAUGUACUUUAUGAAUAAGGAUCGGCUAACUCCGUGCCAGCAGCCGCGGUAAUACGGAGGAUCCGAGCGUUAUCCGGAUUUAUUGGGUUUAAAGGGAGCGUAGAUGGGUUGUUAAGUCAGUUGUGAAAGUUUGCGGCUCAACCGUAAAAUUGCAAUUGAUACUGGCGGUCUUGAGUGCGGGUGAGGUAGGCGGAAUUCGUGGUGUAGCGGUGAAAUGCAUAGAUAUCACGAAGAACUCCGAUUGCGAAGGCAGCAUACUGAACUGCCACUGACAUUGAUGCACGAAAGUGUGGGUAUCGAACAGGAUUAGAUACCCCAGUAGUC